Long non-coding RNA from Helianthus annuus (common sunflower), 502 nucleotides. RefSeq lists it as uncharacterized. NCBI's taxonomy places the organism in Eukaryota, Viridiplantae, Streptophyta, Magnoliopsida, Asterales, Asteraceae. The transcript is spliced from 2 exons. The record is from RefSeq and is a predicted model, not a curated record.
UUGCAAAACUUCAGCAUCGGAAUCUUGUGAAGCUUCUUGGAUAUUGCAUUCAUCAAAAUGAACUUAUUUUGAUUUACGAGUACAUGACUAACAAAAGCUUGGACUGGUUUCUAUUUGAUGAAACCAGAAGCUUGAUGCUUACCUGGCCUCAACGUUUCAAUAUAAUAGAAGGGAUAGCUCGAGGUAUUCUCUAUCUACAUCAAGAUUCCCGCCUUCAGAUUAUCCAUAGAGAUCUCAAGGCAACUAAUAUUUUGCUGGAUGGUGACAUGAAUCCAAAAAUAUCUGACUUCGGCCUAGCCAGAAAGUUUGUAGGGCAUGAUAACACUAAUAAGACAAAGAAAGUAGUCGGAACACAGUGAGAUUAUGCUCCUCAGUGUGAAUACGUUUUUUUCCUAGAAAAGAACAAAGAUGAGAUACUAAUCUGUAAAUUUAUUUUGCUUGACAUCUCUGUAGUGGUUACAUUUCUCCAGAGUAUGCAGUGCAUGGUCGUUUCUCAAUUAAA